Molecule: non-coding RNA, 183 nt
Organism: Oryza glumipatula
Lineage: Eukaryota; Viridiplantae; Streptophyta; Magnoliopsida; Poales; Poaceae
Source: Rfam
GAGUUUGUCCCAAGUCAAAGUUUUUAAGUUUGACCAAGUUUACAAAAAAUAUUUAGCAACAUUUUCAACAAAAAAAAUAUUCGAUGAUGGAGUUAAUGAAACUAAUUUUGUAUUGCAGGUGUAUGUUUUUUUUUUUACAAACUUGGUCAAAAUUAAAAGAAGUUUGACUUCAAGACAACCCCA